Long non-coding RNA from Conger conger (European conger), 946 nucleotides. RefSeq lists it as uncharacterized. The record is from RefSeq and is a predicted model, not a curated record. NCBI's taxonomy places the organism in Eukaryota, Metazoa, Chordata, Actinopteri, Anguilliformes, Congridae. The transcript has 3 exons.
UUUUAUGUUGUACUCGAGAGGUUCACAGUAACGUGAACGCACAACAAACAUGGCCGCCUGAGGCGGAGAAACAAGACAGGCGAUAGAAGGUGAAGACAAUCAGUAGUACUGGUGUUUUUAUGUUUUAAAAAAAAACAUACAUUGAGAGUUUAACUGUACAAAGACUGUGAGUUCCUGAGCAUACUGUGUGGAUAUAGAGAGCUUUUCUUGUCUGAGUUUUGACGGUACAUGGUAAAGUUAGACUGAUUCUGCUGCUGAAAAUGGGGCAGUGGCUGAAUCCAUCCCAUUUCCCACCCAGCGAGAACAGCGUCACCCGACCCAAAACCUCCACGUGAUCCGAGACUCGGAGAAACCUCCACGUGAUCAGAGACUCAGAGAAACCUCCACGUGAUCCGAGACUCAGAGAAACCCCCACGUGAUCAGAGACUCAGAGAAACCUCCACGUGAUCAGAGACUCAGAGAAACCUCCACGUGAUCAGAGACUCAGAGAAACCUCCACGUGAUCCGAGACUCAGAGAAACCUCCACGUGAUCAGAGACUCAGAGAAACCUCCACGUGAUCAGAGACUCAGAGAAACCUCCACGUGAUCCGAGACUCAGAGAAACCUCCACGUGAUCAGAGACUCAGAGAAACCUCCACGUGAUCAGAGACUCAGAGAAACCUCCACGUGAUCAGAGACUCAGAGGAAGCACCUCUGACCGUGUGAAAGCCCCACGCUGCAGCAGAUUCUGCCUCCUCUGAGACCGGAGCUCUGCGUGUGGCUGAGAUGAUGUCACGGGCCCUGUCAGCUCCCGUGUCUUUUAUAGGCGGCGCGAAUGCAGAUACCAACUCGACUUCCUGAUGUAGAAAUAUGGUGCACAGAAGAUUUCCUGUGGGCAUAUUUUUCUGAAGACGGGACAGCCCUGAACCAGGAAACGGAGGCACUGCAUGCUCCUGAUUCUCAUGC